RNAcentral lists this ribosomal RNA (468 nucleotides) under uncultured bacterium. RNAcentral's name for it is "partial 16S ribosomal RNA". It matches the Rfam family "Bacterial small subunit ribosomal RNA", at positions 28 to 507 of the family's 1533-position model. The record is from RNAcentral.
GACGAACGCUGGCGGCGUGCUUAACACAUGCAAGUCGAACGGAAAGGCCCUGCUUUUGCGGGGUGCUCGAGUGGCGAACGGGUGAGUAACACGUGAGUAACCUGCCCUUGACUUUGGGAUAACUUCAGGAAACUGGGGCUAAUACCGGAUAGGAGCUCCUGCUGCAUGGUGGGGGUUGGAAAGUUUCGGCGGUUGGGGAUGGACUCGCGGCUUAUCAGCUUGUUGGUGGGGUAGUGGCUUACCAAGGCUUUGACGGGUAGCCGGCCUGAGAGGGUGACCGGCCACAUUGGGACUGAGAUACGGCCCAGACUCCUACGGGAGGCAGCAGUGGGGAAUAUUGCACAAUGGGCGGAAGCCUGAUGCAGCAACGCCGCGUGCGGGAUGACGGCCUUCGGGUUGUAAACCGCUUUCGCCUGUGACGAAGCGUGAGUGACGCUAAUGGGUAAAGAAGCACCGGCUAACUACGUG